GAUGAACGCUGGCGGCGUGCCUAAUACAUGCAAGUCGAGCGAACAGACGAGGAGCUUGCUCCUCUGACGUUAGCGGCGGACGGGUGAGUAACACGUGGAUAACCUACCUAUAAGACUGGGAUAACUUCGGGAAACCGGAGCUAAUACCGGAUAACAUGUUGAACCGCAUGGUUCAACAGUGAAAGACGGUCUUGCUGUCACUUAUAGAUGGAUCCGCGCCGCAUUAGCUAGUUGGUAAGGUAACGGCUUACCAAGGCAACGAUGCGUAGCCGACCUGAGAGGGUGAUCGGCCACACUGGAACUGAGACACGGUCCAGACUCCUACGGGAGGCAGCAGUAGGGAAUCUUCCGCAAAGGGCGAAAGCCUGACGGAGCAACGCCGCGUGAGUGAAGAAGGUCUUCGGAUCGUAAAACUCUGUUAUUAGGGAAGAACAAAUGUGUAAGUAACUAUGCACGUCUUGACGGUACCUAAUCAGAAAGCCACGGCUAACUACGUG
This 497-nucleotide ribosomal RNA is filed under the name uncultured bacterium. Its description in RNAcentral is "partial 16S ribosomal RNA". It matches the Rfam family "Bacterial small subunit ribosomal RNA", at positions 28 to 507 of the family's 1533-position model. The record is from RNAcentral.